This is a long non-coding RNA of Pantherophis guttatus, 3725 nucleotides long. RefSeq lists it as uncharacterized. The record is from RefSeq and is a predicted model, not a curated record. Lineage: Eukaryota; Metazoa; Chordata; Lepidosauria; Squamata; Colubridae.
UCCCUCCCUUUCUCAUUUUUCUUCCUUACUGCAGCAUCUCUACAUCACUCGCGCCUGCCCAUCCCAGCCUUCGAUUCCAGCACGGCUACUGCUGUCCUUGCUUCUCCCCAUCAUCAUGCUGGACAUAUUCAUUCUCAUGUUUUUUGCCAUUAUAGGGCUGGUCGUUUUAUCAUAUAUCAUCUACAUGCUGUAACAUGUCCAGCCACAACCCUUCUGCCACCAACAGCCUGUGAAGGACAGCCAAGCCAGGAAGCAGGUUUUUCCCCCCCUCCCUAUUUAAUGCAGUUGUUUCAGCAAUGUUGCAGACAGGAGCAGCAUCUGUCCCUGGAUUAUUUCCAUGUUUACAUCUCAGCAGCAUGGUCUUCCAGAGCAUUCUGGAAAAAAAUUUAACCCUUGCAAAACUCCCUGACAAAGAGAAGAAUGAUUUAGCUAAAUGCUGAAACUGUAUCCUAAGACUGAGUUGGAAGUGCAUGGGAGGAACAAGAGGCAAGGAAAAUGAAAUGAACGAAAGAAAGCAGAGAGUAAGAAUUCUAAUGAAAUGAUCCUAAAACAGUGGAGGGGAAGAAUCUGCUUUCUAAAGAAAAAAGUUGUGUUUCUGCAUAUCUAGAUAUACAAUCUUCAGUGAUAUUAAGUUCUAAAAUGCAGGAUUCUGAAAGCAUCAGACUGCAGAGAAAGGGGUUGGGAGAGCAAGAAGACUGAUGUGCCUUCUGAAUUACAUUUAAUGUUUGCCAUGCUAAACAUUACAUUUCUCAAGACAUAAAAGGCAAUUAUGUACAUGCUAUCUAGUAAUUACACAGUAUUUUCAAAACGUCAUAUUUAUCUCUGUAUGGAAGUUCGGGCAUAUCUGAAAAUGCAGCCUCAUUCUAUGGAUCAGCAUGGUGUUUUGUUUUGUUUUUUGCUUUUUUAAAAAACAAAACUUUCCAGAAAAUAAUUGGUUUAUAAUGGGUUGUUUUCUCUACUAAUAUCAUCAUGCUAAAUAUGUCACUGCAGAGGAAUCAAAAAGCAAACUCUAGCAUAUUAAUAAUUUUCACUAUCAUUAUCAAACUAUAACAAUUAUUUAUGUAAUUUUAUAAUACUGUAAGAAAACCAAUUUUUUGUAACAAAAUAUUAAUUAUAUUUCCUAUAUGAAUCAAGGAAACUUCCCACAGGGAUAAAAUAAAAAUCUGUUAAAAAUAAUAAUAAAAAGAUGAACUGCUUAUGUGAAACUGUCCUUGAAGAAUAGGUUAUUAACUAUUUUUUAUUUUAGUAUUUCUCAACUUUGGCAAUUUGAAGAUAAAUGAAUUUCAACUCUCAGAAUUCCCCAGCAAGUCCAUACAUCUUAAAGCUGCCAAGUUUGAGAAACAGUGUUCUGUUCUAGGAUCCUUGGAAAAGAAUGCCAGCAACUAUAAUCAUUCUCCCUUUCAGCUGCAAAAAAGAAUUUUUCCACAAAAAAUUGUUUUGCUAUUCUUACCUGAUACUGGGGACAAAAAGAGAUGUUCUGGGAAAUGCAUCUUGGGUGCUGCCAGGAUGGGCUAAAUCCAAAGUUUUUUUAUUUCCCUAGGAAAUAAAAAGCAACAUGGAAAUACAAACUGGAAGAGGUGGGGGAGAAAAGAGUGAGGGAAACACUUGGCCAAUGUAAUUCCAGCUGAUUUUAGGUGAUUCUACUUUUACCUUGUACUUUUUUUUGUCCCAUCACCAUAGAAUAAUUCUGCCUGUUGAUAUUAGAAUCUAAAUGUGCAUUCAAAAUAUGCAGUUUUCUAUUUAUAUCAAGAUAUGGGAUAGGAUGUGGUUUUAAUGUGAAAAAUAAUCUGAAAAAUAAGGGGGAGGGGAACCUGGCAGGAAAUAAUGUCUUUUUCCCACCUAUACCAGUUGUGGGUUUCAAAGUUUUUUACUACCGGUUCUGUGGGAAUGGCGUGGCCUGGCUUGGUGGGUGUGGCAGGGGAAGGGUACUGCAAAAUCCCCAUUUCCUCCUGAUCAGCUGGGAUUUGGGAGGCAGAGAAUAGAUGGGGGCAGGGGCAGUCAGAAUUUUUACUACUGGUUCUCUGACCUACUCAAUAUUUUCGCUACCGAUUCUCCAAAACUGGUCAAAACCUGCUAAAACCCACCUCUAACCUACACUCAAAAUAAUUUUAGGAAUAUUCAUUUCUUGAAUAUUACUUUAAGUAUAGCCUUUUAAGUAACCUAGAAAAUUUAUUGCUCUAAAAUGAGGGUGAGGGUGAGUGAUCUGCCUGCCACAGAGUUCCCUUCCCUCCAAUUAGAAUGGAGUACUAAUUAGAGAUUUUGUAUAAUUAUUCCAUUCAUUGUAGACAUUUCUCAUCCAAAAAUCCAGUGCAAUGCUCAAUGCCUCAGUUGCUAAAAAAAUAAAUAAAUAGGAGAGACAUAUGCGCCUCUCCUAUUAGAGACGUGCAGUUUCAACUUCUCAAGUGCUGGGCUAAUAGAGGCAGAAUAGAAUAAUAGAGUUGCAAGGGACCUUUGACAGGGGUGAAAUCCAGCAGGUUCUGACAGGUUUUGGAGAACCGACAGCGGAAAUUUUGAGUAGUUCGGAGAACCGGCAAAUACCACCUGUGACUGGCCCCAGAGUGGGGUGGGAAUAGAGAUUUUUGCAAUAUCCUUCCCCUACGAGUAAGGAGGGAAUGGGGAUUUUACAAUAUCCUUCCCCUGCCAUGCCUACCAAGCCACACCAUGCCCACCAAGCCACGCCCACGGGACUGGUAGUAAAAAAAAUUGGAUUUCACCACUGACCUUGGGGUCUUCUAGUACCUGCUCAAGGAGGAGACCCUAUACUAUUUCAGACAAAUGGCUGUCCAAUCUCUUCUUAAAAACCUUCAGUGAUGAAGCACCUCCAACUUCUGAAGGCAAGCUGUUCCACUGGUUAAUUGUUCUCACUGUUACAAAAUUUCUCCUUAGUUCUACGUUGCUUCUCUCCUUGAUUAAUUUCCAUCCAUUGCUUCUUGCCUUGUCUUCUGGUGCUUUGGAGAAUAGGUUGACUUUCUCUUCUUUGUGGCAGCCCUUUAAAUAUUGGAACACUGUUAUCAUGUCACUCAUAGUCCUUCCUUUCACUAGACUACUGAAUUCCUGCAACUUUUCUUCAAAUAUUUUAGCUCCAGUCCCAUUAUAAAUUUUGAUGCUCCACUCUGCACUCUUUCCAGAGUCUCAAAAUCUUUUUUAUAUUACAGUGACCAAAAUUGGAUGCACUAUUUCAAGUGUAGCCUUGCCAAGACAUUAUAAAGUGGUACUAACAUUUUAUGUAAUCUUGAUUCUGUCUCUGUUAAUGCAAUAUAGGAUUACAUUGGCUUUUUUGGCAACUGCAGCACACUGUUGGCUCAUCUGUAAGUGACUGUCCACUAGGGCUCCAAGAUCCCUGUUGCAGUUACUGCUGUUAAACCAGGUUUCUCCUAUUCUGUACCUUUACAUUUUCUUUUUCUUGCUUAAAUGUAAAUUUUUACUUUUCUCUACAUUGAAUUUCAUUUUGUUAGAUAUAGCCCAGUGUUCAAGUCUGUCAAGAUCCUUCUGUAUCUUGAGACUAUUUUCUGGGGUGUUGGCUAUUCCUGUCAGCUUGAUGUUGUCUGCAAAUUUGAUGUGUUUCCCUUCUGUUCCCUUAUCUAAACUGUUUAUGAAAAUAUCUGCAACUCCACUAAAAUGAUAAAAAAUGCUUUGUAAAUAGAAUAAAGGCCUUUGCCCACUGCCACAUUUUCUGCCAUUUUAAGUAUGGUUGCUAUUUUUUCUUAUUAAAUUGUCAAAAUGUC